GUGCCCAGCGGCGGCCGGUGCGCGGCGGCGGCGGCGGCUGCUCCUCGUCGUCGUCGUCGUCGUCGCCCGGGAGGCGGCCGCCCCCAUCUCCCCCCGCGCCGCAGGGAUAUGGUCCAAGGUGCUGAAAACUUCCUAACAAAACUCUUCAGCCGAAUCUGGCACGCCUGUGGUUCCAGCUACUGGGUAGACCGAGGCAGGAGGAUCGCUUGAGGCCAAGAGUUUAAGACCAACCUGGGCAACAUGAUACAGAAAAGAACACAUAGAGACUUCGGGGGAAAGGAGACUAUGUGCAAGAAUGGCAGAGAUUGGAGCCAAGGAGUGCCUGGGCCUACCAGAGGCUGCAAGAGACAGGGAGGACCCUCCCCUAGAGCCUCCAGAGGGAACAGAGCCAUGCCCACACCUUGACUUUGGACUCCUGGCCUCCAGAACUGUGAGAGGACCUAGGAC
Long non-coding RNA from Homo sapiens (human), 447 nucleotides. Ensembl annotates it as ZCCHC14 divergent transcript. Its record names the gene ZCCHC14-DT. The record is from Ensembl. Lineage: Eukaryota; Metazoa; Chordata; Mammalia; Primates; Hominidae.